CAGCAGCAGCCGCGGGAAUACAGAGGGUGCGAGCGUUAAUCGGAUUUACUGGGCGUAAAGCGUGCGUAGGCGGCUAAUUGAGUCGGAUGUGAAAUCCCCGAGCUUAACUUGGGAAUUGCAUUCGAUACUGGUUAGCUAGAGUGUGGGAGAGGAUGGUAGAAUUCAAGGUGUAGCGGUGAAAUGCGUAGAGAUCUGGAGGAAUACCGAUGGCGAAGGCAGCCAUCUGGCCUAACACUGACGCUGAGGUACGAAAGCAUGGGGAGCAAACAGGAUUAGAUACCCGCGUAGUCCCUGUCUCUUAUAU
RNAcentral lists this ribosomal RNA (304 nucleotides) under uncultured bacterium. RNAcentral describes it as "partial 16S ribosomal RNA". It matches the Rfam family "Bacterial small subunit ribosomal RNA", at positions 506 to 809 of the family's 1533-position model. The record is from RNAcentral.